This 431-nucleotide ribosomal RNA is filed under the name Serratia sp. CK2. RNAcentral's name for it is "bacterial SSU rRNA". It matches the Rfam family "Bacterial small subunit ribosomal RNA", at positions 929 to 1353 of the family's 1533-position model. Lineage: Bacteria; Pseudomonadati; Pseudomonadota; Gammaproteobacteria; Enterobacterales; Yersiniaceae. The record is from RNAcentral.
GGGGCGCGCCCCGGGCGGGGCGGGGGCACGGGGGGAACGCGAAGAACCUUACCUACUCUUGACAUCCAGAGAAUUCGCUAGAGAUAGCUUAGUGCCUUCGGGAACUCUGAGACAGGUGCUGCAUGGCUGUCGUCAGCUCGUGUUGUGAAAUGUUGGGUUAAGUCCCGCAACGAGCGCAACCCUUAUCCUUUGUUGCCAGCACGUAAUGGUGGGAACUCAAAGGAGACUGCCGGUGAUAAACCGGAGGAAGGUGGGGAUGACGUCAAGUCAUCAUGGCCCUUACGAGUAGGGCUACACACGUGCUACAAUGGCGUAUACAAAGAGAAGCGAACUCGCGAGAGCAAGCGGACCUCAUAAAGUACGUCGUAGUCCGGAUCGGAGUCUGCAACUCGACUCCGUGAAGUCGGAAUCGCUAGUAAUCGUAGAUCAGA